GCCCUUAGGGGGUGGUUGCCACCUGUCCAGACAACCCCACCACAUAGUGAGGAGAUGAGGAAACUGAGGCCAGAAAGAUAAACUAACAGAACAUGCCAGAAGAGAAAUGCCAGAGUCAUGACAGCCAGAACCAGGACACCAUGCUGAAGGUAGAGCCACAAAACUUCAACCAUGAUGACAAAAGCCACACACUCAAUAUUAAUGGUGUAGGAAGCCAGACAUGUCUGGGUUCAUGGUUGCUUUGGAGGGCCAGCUUACCAGCWAGGCUGGCCA
Urocitellus parryii (Arctic ground squirrel) is the source of this 273-nucleotide long non-coding RNA. RefSeq lists it as uncharacterized. Lineage: Eukaryota; Metazoa; Chordata; Mammalia; Rodentia; Sciuridae. The record is from RefSeq and is a predicted model, not a curated record.